AUUUACUUCCUGCAAACAAUUCCAUAUCCUGCAGACGCCCCGCGGGUGCAGUCUAGGGUGCCAAAAUCUAUAACCGGUGAGGUCUUUUGGUCUGAGCCACCUUGAGAGAUGAUGCAAGAUUGGCAAUCUGCAGAGAGAAGGGAUGGGGUUCUAUACUUAUCUUCACCCCCCAAAACUGGCAUUGCCACACCAGGCUUUGCUGGGUUCUCAAAAUCGGGCCUGUAAGUCCUGCCCAGUACUCCAUCGACCUUAGGGGACAGGUUAAAGAACCUAAAUUGCACCUACAAAUGGACAAAGCAGUCAUUAGCCGGGACUUGGUAGUUAUGGACUCUGUCAUCUUCUUUAGUCACUGGCACCGCAUUGACCAAAAUCUCUGCAGUAUCCUUCAAGGUGGCUAUGACACUGUUCUUACUUGAUACUCUCUCUACUUUAACAUCUUUCUCUUGGGAGUACCAGAUGGAGAGGGAGCCUUCUGGAAUAACUAAAUCUUGCCCAUUAUAGGUGAAUUUUAGAUGGUCAACCUCACUAACCCAAG
RNAcentral lists this unclassified non-coding RNA (535 nucleotides) under Hevea brasiliensis (rubber tree). Lineage: Eukaryota; Viridiplantae; Streptophyta; Magnoliopsida; Malpighiales; Euphorbiaceae. The record is from RNAcentral.